This 992-nucleotide ribosomal RNA is filed under the name Penicillium dierckxii. Its description in RNAcentral is "eukaryotic LSU rRNA". The stretch from base 639 to 792 matches the Rfam family "5.8S ribosomal RNA". The record is from RNAcentral. Lineage: Eukaryota; Fungi; Ascomycota; Eurotiomycetes; Eurotiales; Aspergillaceae.
CUCUGCGCCCCAAGGUGUAUUAGUCCCGCUGGAGGCUGAGGAGAUCUUCCCCCCCUGUGACAGAGUUGAUGGGAAUGCCUUCGUUCCAAGUUUGGGAGCCUAGGGUCGGCGGUACCCCACCCUCCAGGGUUAACCAGGCAGAACUAAGGAUGGGGCCCCGCCCGGCACCGAUCUGUAAAACAUGACCCCGCCCCCGCAAAUACCACCCCUGUAUCUGAGGAAAGGCCUCCCCUCCCUCCUCCUUAAAAAAACCCCCUUUUUUGGAAAGAGUACGCGCGCGCGCGCGCGCCCCUCACACGCCCGUCGCUACUACCGAUUGAAUGGCUCAGUGAGGCCUUCGGACUGGCGCCGGAGGGUGGGCAACGACCCCCCAGCGCCGGAAAGUGGGUCAAACUCGGGUCAUUUAGAGGAAGUAAAAGUCGUAACAAGGUUUCCGUAGGUGAACCUGCGGAAGGAUCAUUACCGAGUGAGGGCCCUCUGGGUCCAACCUCCCACCCGUGUGGCACGAACCUGUGUGGCUUCGGCGGGCCCGCCGCCUAGGCCGCCGGGGGGCAUCCGCCCCCGGGCCCGCGCCCGCCGAAGCCCCCCUCUGAACGCUGUCGGAAGUUGCAGUCUGAGAAACUAGCUAAAUUAGUUAAAACUUUCAACAACGGAUCUCUUGGUUCCGGCAUCGAUGAAGAACGCAGCGAAAUGCGAUAACUAAUGUGAAUUGCAGAAUUCAGUGAAUCAUCGAGUCUUUGAACGCACAUUGCGCCCUCUGGUAUUCCGGAGGGCAUGCCUGUCCGAGCGUCAUUGCUGCCCUCAAGCACGGCUUGUGUGUUGGGCCCCGUCCCCCCCGCGCCGGGGGGACGGGCCCGAAAGGCAGCGGCGGCACCGCGUCCGGUCCUCGAGCGUAUGGGGCUUCGUCACCCGCUCUGUAGGCCCGGCCGGCGCCAGCCGACCCCCAACCUUUAUAUUUCUCAGGUGACCUCGGAUCAGGUAGCUACGGGGGA